RNAcentral lists this long non-coding RNA (1212 nucleotides) under Oryctolagus cuniculus (rabbit). RNAcentral's name for it is "lncRNA (ENSOCUG00000037659.1)". The record is from RNAcentral. Lineage: Eukaryota; Metazoa; Chordata; Mammalia; Lagomorpha; Leporidae.
AUGCUGGCGUCCGACACGUGCCCGUGGGUGCUCCACCGUGGCCGAGCGGGAGCCACGUCCGACACGUUCUCCCCAACCCUGAUGCUGGCGUCCGACACGUGCCCGUGGGUGCUCCACCGUGGACGGGCGGGAGCCACGUCCGACACGUUCUCCCCGAGCCUGAUGCUGGCGUCCGACACGUGCCCGUGGGUGCUCCACCGUGGACGGGCGGGAGCCACAUCCGACACAUUCUCCCCGAGCCUGAUGCUGGCGUCCGACACGUGCCCGUGGGUGCUCCACCGUGGCCGGGCGGGAGCCACGUCCGACACGUUCUCCCCGAGCCUGAUGCUGGCGUCUGACACGUGCCCAUGCGUGCUCCACCGUGGCCGAGCGGGAGCCACGUCCGACACGUUCUCCCCAACCCUGAUGCUGGCGUCUGACACGUGCCCGUGGGUGUUCCACCGUGGCCGGGCGGGAGCCAUUCCGGAAGCAAAGCUGCCUGUGGAGUCACUGCCCCCUGACCCGUGCCCAGGACAGCUGCUUUCCUCCUGGGGACUAACAUGCCCAAGUGGGUGUGGGAGGGGCAUGGCCACCUGCGUGUCAGGCACGUGGGCACCCAGCCUCCCUGAAGGUCCCUCCCAUGGCCAGGGCUCCUCCCCUGAGCUACCUGCCACAGCUGGGAGGGGCCCCUGCGAAGGUGAGGUGGCUACAGGUGGCCUCAGGGCAGUGCUAAGGUCCGGCUCCUGUCGGGGGGAGGGCUGUGUGCUGGCUGCAGCAGGGGUCUCCCCAGAGGCUGUGGGGGGCAGGGCAGAGCUGAUGGUUUGCAGGGCCUCCUCCAGGAGAGGAGUCUGGGUCUGUGCAGGCGGCUCUUGCCCUGAGCCCAAGGGUAGGAAGUCUCCCAGACUAAGGCCUGCGGGUGAUGCCUCCUCCACACACACAGCCUCUUCCUCCUGCCUGGCUCCCACUGCUGGGGCCUCGACAGGGGGCAGUGUUGGCCCACGUGGCCUGCUUGGGGAACCCCCUGGCUGCAGGCCCCGGGUCACAGCCAUGGACUCCGUCUGGGUGCUCACAGUCUGGAGACACGACCUGAAACACACGCGCGUCGGGCCCUGUGUGGCCUCACGUUUCCUCCCAGCCGGCCACCACUGUUCCCCAGGUUUGGUUCCGCCACCACAGUCAACAGCCACAGACACUCGGACGUGGGGAUGGGGCAGACCAGGUGCACACGGCUCA